UACGUAGGGGGCAAGCGUUGUCCGGAAUCAUUGGGCGUAAAGCGCGUGUAGGCGGCUUCGUAAGUCCGUUGUGAAAGUCCAGGGCUCAACCCUGGAAUGCCGAUGGAUACUGCGGAGCUAGAGUCCGGAAGAGGCGAGUGGAAUUCCUGGUGUAGCGGUGAAAUGCGCAGAUAUCAGGAGGAACACCAAUGGCGAAGGCAGCUCGCUGGGACGUUACUGACGCUGAGACGCGAAAGCGUGGGGAGCAAACAGG
RNAcentral lists this ribosomal RNA (253 nucleotides) under uncultured bacterium. Its description in RNAcentral is "partial 16S ribosomal RNA". It matches the Rfam family "Bacterial small subunit ribosomal RNA", at positions 524 to 776 of the family's 1533-position model. The record is from RNAcentral.